AUUGAACGCUGGCGGCAGGCCUAACACAUGCAAGUCGGACGGUAGCACAGAGAGCUUGCUCUUGGGUGACGAGUGGCGGACGGGUGAGUAAUGUCUGGGGAUCUGCCCGAUAGAGGGGGAUAACCACUGGAAACGGUGGCUAAUACCGCAUAACGUCGCAAGACCAAAGAGGGGGACCUCCGGGCCUCUCACUAUCGGAUGAACCCAGAUGGGAUUAGCUAGUAGGCGGGGUAAUGGCCCACCUAGGCGACGAUCCCUAGCUGGUCUGAGAGGAUGACCAGGCACACUGGAACUGAGACACGGUCCAGACGCCUACGGGAGGCAGCAGUGGGGAAUAUUGCACAAUGGGCGCAAGCCUGAUGCAGCCAUGCCGCGUGUAUGAAGAAGGCCUUCGGGUUGUAAAGUACUUUCAGCGGGGAGGAAGGCGGUGAGGUUAAUAACCUCGCCGAUUGACGUUACCCGCAGAAGAAGCACCGGCUAACUCCGUGCCAGCAGCCGCGGUAA
RNAcentral lists this ribosomal RNA (504 nucleotides) under uncultured bacterium. RNAcentral describes it as "partial 16S ribosomal RNA". It matches the Rfam family "Bacterial small subunit ribosomal RNA", at positions 29 to 523 of the family's 1533-position model. The record is from RNAcentral.